RNAcentral lists this ribosomal RNA (253 nucleotides) under uncultured bacterium. Its description in RNAcentral is "partial 16S ribosomal RNA". It matches the Rfam family "Bacterial small subunit ribosomal RNA", at positions 524 to 776 of the family's 1533-position model. The record is from RNAcentral.
UACGGAGGGUGCAAGCGUUAUCCGGAUUCACUGGGUUUAAAGGGUGCGUAGGUGGGUUGGUAAGUCAGUGGUGAAAUCUCCGGGCUUAACCUGGAAACUGCCAUUGAUACUAUCAAUCUUGAAUACCUUGGAGGUGAGCGGAAUAUGUCAUGUAGCGGUGAAAUGCUUAGAUAUGACAUAGAACACCAAUUGCGAAGGCAGCUCACUACACGGUCAUUGACACUGAGGCACGAAAGCAUGGGGAUCAAACAGG